This 523-nucleotide ribosomal RNA is filed under the name uncultured Glomus. Its description in RNAcentral is "SSU rRNA". It matches the Rfam family "Eukaryotic small subunit ribosomal RNA", at positions 569 to 1093 of the family's 1831-position model. The record is from RNAcentral. Lineage: Eukaryota; Fungi; Glomeromycota; Glomeromycetes; Glomerales; Glomeraceae.
AGCAGCCGCGGUAAUUCCAGCUCCAAUAGCGUAUAUUAAAGUUGUUGCAGUUAAAAAGCUCGUAGUUGAAUUUCGGGAUCAAUAUAUCGGUCGUGCCUUUGGUACGCACUGGUAUUAUUGAUUUCUACCUUCUGACGAAUCAUGAUGUCAUUAAUUUGGUGUCAUGGGGAAUCAGGACUGUUACUUUGAAAAAAUUAGAGUGUUUAAAGCAAGCACACGCUUGAAUACAUUAGCAUGGAAUAAUGAAAUAGGACGUUUGAUCUUAUUUUGUUGGUUUCUAGGAUCGACGUAAUGAUUAAUAGGGAUAGUUGGGGGCAUUAGUAUUCAAUUGUCAGAGGUGAAAUUCCUGGAUUUAUUGAAGACUAACUACUGCGAAAGCAUUUGCCAAGGAUGUUUUCAUCAAUCAAGAACGAAAGUUAGGGGAUCGAAGACGAUCAGAUACCGUCGUAGUCUUAACCAUAAACUAUGCCGACUAGGGAUCGGAUGAUGUUAAUUUUUUAAUGACUCAUUCGGCGCCUUACGG